Molecule: ribosomal RNA, 406 nt
Filed under: uncultured bacterium
Lineage: Bacteria
Description: partial 16S ribosomal RNA
Rfam family: Bacterial small subunit ribosomal RNA
Source: RNAcentral
AUUGAACGCUGGCGGCAGGCCUAACACAUGCAAGUCGAACGAGUGGCGGACGGGUGAGUAAUGUCUGGGAUACUGCCUGAUGGAGGGGGAUAACUACUGGACACGGUAGAUAAUACCGCAUACCAUCAGAUGUGCCCAGAUGGUAUUAGCUAGUUGGUGGGGUAACGGCUCACCAAGGCGACGCUCCCUAGCUGGUCUGAGAGGAUGACCAGCCACACGGGAACUGCAACACGGUCCAGACUCCUACGGGAGGCAGCAGUGGGGAAUAUUGCACAAUGGGCGCAAGCCGGAUGCAGCCAUGCCGCGUGUAUGAAGAAGGCCUUCGGGUUGUAAAGUACUUUCAGCGGGGAGGCGUUACCCGCAGAAGAAGCACCGGCUAACUCCGUGCCAGCAGCCGCGGUAAUAC